GCCACCACGAGAGGUGGGGACUCAGGCGGGACCGCCGGUGACAAACCGGAGGAAGGUGGGGACGGACGUCAAGUCAUCAUGGCCCUUAUGUCCUGGGCUACACACGUGCUACAAUGGCCGGUACAGAGCGCAGCGAGGCCGCGAGGCGGAGCGAAUCGCUUAAAGCCGGUCCCAGUACGGAUUGGAGUCUGCAACCCGACUCCAUGAAGUUGGAAUCGCUAGUAAUCGCGCAUCAGCAUGGCGCGGUGAAUACGUUCCCGGGCCUU
RNAcentral lists this ribosomal RNA (266 nucleotides) under uncultured Spirochaeta sp. Its description in RNAcentral is "partial 16S ribosomal RNA". It matches the Rfam family "Bacterial small subunit ribosomal RNA", at positions 1117 to 1382 of the family's 1533-position model. Lineage: Bacteria; Pseudomonadati; Spirochaetota; Spirochaetia; Spirochaetales; Spirochaetaceae. The record is from RNAcentral.